GACGAACGCUGGCGGCGUGCCUAAUACAUGCAAGUAGAACGCACAGUUUAUACCGUAGCUUGCUACACCAUACACUGUGAGUUGCGAACGGGUGAGUAACGCGUAGGUAACCUGCCUGGUAGCGGGGGAUAACUAUUGGAAACGAUAGCUAAUACCGCAUAAUAUUGAUUAUUGCAUGAUAAUUGAUUGAAAGAUGCUAUUGCAUCACUACCAGAUGGACCUGCGUUGUAUUAGCUAGUAGGUGAGGUAACGGCUCACCUAGGCGACGAUACAUAGCCGACCUGAGAGGGUGAUCGGCCACAAUGGGACUGAGACACGGCCCAGACUCCUACGGGAGGCAGCAGUAGGGAAUCUUCGGCAAUGGACGAAAGUCUGACCGAGCAACGCCGCGUGAGUGAAGAAGGUUUUCGGAUCGUAAAGCUCUGUUGUAAGAGAAGAACGGGUGUGAGAGUGGAAAGUUCACACUGUGACGGUAUCUUACCAGAAAGGGACGGCUAACUACGUG
This 505-nucleotide ribosomal RNA is filed under the name uncultured bacterium. RNAcentral describes it as "partial 16S ribosomal RNA". It matches the Rfam family "Bacterial small subunit ribosomal RNA", at positions 28 to 507 of the family's 1533-position model. The record is from RNAcentral.